Molecule: non-coding RNA, 95 nt
Organism: Termitomyces sp. T32_za158
Lineage: Eukaryota; Fungi; Basidiomycota; Agaricomycetes; Agaricales; Lyophyllaceae
Source: the annotation of a GenBank genome assembly
GCAUUAAUGGGGUAGUGGUAACCUGGGUCGUUGCCAUCCUCGACAAGUUGCAUGCUUCUAUCGACCCGCCGGGGGUUCGAUUCCCCCUUAAUGCA